This 301-nucleotide ribosomal RNA is filed under the name uncultured bacterium. RNAcentral's name for it is "partial 16S ribosomal RNA". It matches the Rfam family "Bacterial small subunit ribosomal RNA", at positions 509 to 809 of the family's 1533-position model. The record is from RNAcentral.
CAGCCGCCGCGGGAAUACGGAGGGUGCAAGCGUUAAUCGGAAUUACUGGGCGUAAAGCGCACGCAGGCGGUCUGACAAGUCAGAUGUGAAAUCCCCGGGCUUAACCUGGGAACUGCAUUUGAAACUGUCAGGCUGGAGUCUUGUAGAGGGGGGUGGAAUUCCAGGUGUAGCGGUGAAAUGCGUAGAGAUCUGGAGGAAUACCGGUGGCGAAGGCGGCCCCCUGGACAAAGACUGACGCUCAGGUGCGAAAGCGUGGGGAGCAAACAGGAUUAGAUACCCGGGUAGUCCCUGUCUCUUAUAA